GAUGAACGCUGGCGGCGUGCCUAAUACAUGCAAGUCGAGCGAACGGACGAGAAGCUUGCUUCUCUGAUGUUAGCGGCGGACGGGUGAGUAACACGUGGAUAACCUACCUAUAAGACUGGGAUAACUUCGGGAAACCGGAGCUAAUACCGGAUAAUAUUUUGAACCGCAUGGUUCAAAAGUGAAAGACGGUCUUGCUGUCACUUAUAGAUGGAUCCGCGCUGCAUUAGCUAGUUGGUAAGGUAACGGCUUACCAAGGCAACGAUGCAUAGCCGACCUGAGAGGGUGAUCGGCCACACUGGAACUGGGACACGGUCCAGACUCCUACGGGAGGCAGCAGUAGGGAAUCUUCCGCAAUGGGCGAAAGCCUGACGGAGCAACGCCGCGUGAGUGAUGAAGGUCUUCGGAUCGUAAAACUCUGUUAUUAGGGAAGAACAUGUGUGUAAGUAACUGUGCACAUCUUGACGGUACCUAAUCAGAAAGCCACGGCUAACUACGUG
This 497-nucleotide ribosomal RNA is filed under the name uncultured bacterium. RNAcentral's name for it is "partial 16S ribosomal RNA". It matches the Rfam family "Bacterial small subunit ribosomal RNA", at positions 28 to 507 of the family's 1533-position model. The record is from RNAcentral.